RNAcentral lists this unclassified non-coding RNA (277 nucleotides) under Hevea brasiliensis (rubber tree). The record is from RNAcentral. Lineage: Eukaryota; Viridiplantae; Streptophyta; Magnoliopsida; Malpighiales; Euphorbiaceae.
GGGGAGCUCUAUUUCUCCUUCACGGAAACAGGACCAACAAGUCUAGGGCUUUCCCUCAAUCACCACCGUCUAUGCUGCGGAGCUCACUAAGGAGUUUGAGGUGAGGAUGCUUGUUACUGCCCCAGUUACCGAGAAAUGGACAUUGGACAAUUGGAAAAUGAAGAAAGCUUUGCAGUUUCUGGAACACUCGAAUACGAAUGACCUGGAGUCGGUGUUGAAGACUGCGAAGCAUUUCCCCAAUAGUUUUUGCAAGGGAAGCCAGAAGUAAAGAGGGGCU